UACGGGGGGGGCAAGCGUUGUUCGGAAUUACUGGGCGUAAAGGGCUCGUAGGUGGCCAACUAAGUCAGACGUGAAAUCCCUCGGCUUAACCGGGGAACUGCGUCUGAUACUGGAUGGCUUGAGUUUGGGAGAGGGAUGCGGAAUUCCAGGUGUAGCGGUGAAAUGCGUAGAUAUCUGGAGGAACACCGGUGGCGAGGGCGGCAUCCUGGACCAACACUGACACUGAGGAGCGAAAGCCAGGGGAGCAAACGGG
RNAcentral lists this ribosomal RNA (253 nucleotides) under uncultured bacterium. RNAcentral describes it as "partial 16S ribosomal RNA". It matches the Rfam family "Bacterial small subunit ribosomal RNA", at positions 524 to 776 of the family's 1533-position model. The record is from RNAcentral.